GUACUUAACUAGACAGGGUAAAUGAGUGAUCAUGAAAGCCCAUGGCUUAGAUUAGUGACUUCCAUUUUACUUUGGAGGGGCUCCCACCUAAGGUCGGCCCAAGUAGCGGAGCCUACGUCGUAAUUUGUUGGCAGUGGGGUCCUUAGUUCUUGUGGACCCUA
Small nuclear RNA from Lycium ferocissimum, 161 nucleotides. RefSeq annotates it as U1 spliceosomal RNA. Lineage: Eukaryota; Viridiplantae; Streptophyta; Magnoliopsida; Solanales; Solanaceae. The transcript has a single exon. The record is from RefSeq and is a predicted model, not a curated record.